This is a long non-coding RNA of Dermochelys coriacea (leatherback sea turtle), 3913 nucleotides long. RefSeq lists it as uncharacterized. The record is from RefSeq and is a predicted model, not a curated record. NCBI's taxonomy places the organism in Eukaryota, Metazoa, Chordata, Testudines, Dermochelyidae. The transcript has 5 exons.
AGAGAGAGCCAUUGAACACAUAGCUUCCAGAGCUGCCCUAGCUGAUAGGAAGAGGGUUGGGAGGCAAACCCCAUGAAGGGGCAAUAGAAGAUCUCAUGAAGCCCUAUCCAUGGGCUGUCUGAGAGGUUGACCCCUGUUCCACCAAGACUCUCCUCUCUUGCAACGGGAAGGGAGGAAGAAGAACCACCCCUCUUCCAGACAGGGUGCGCCGCAGAGAACUCCCCUCCCCCAAACGAGGCCACUGGGGGAAUAGAAGGUGUUCUGGCCAGGAAUCUGAAAAUAAGGCCACAUCGUCAAGCCUGCCAGGAAUGAGGGCCUGCAGCUGCACCGCCCAGUUGUCAGGCAGCCAAUCAGCACAGCGGGGCCACAGAAGUACCCAUCUGGUUGGCUAAGGCAAUCUAGUGUUUGCUCUUAAGCCCAGCACAUCAGCAGCUGCUCAACACAUAUGCCUGCAGAUUCUGUUUACCUGUGUUUGUCUCACUCCUUCACUGCUCCAGCCAAGACACUACCCUGCAUGCAGUCUUAUUCCAGUUUUGUCCCAGCCUUGUUCCUGCCUUCCCUGACUCCAGAUGUGACAGAUGCAGAUUAUACAGAAUCUAAGAUUCCCCCGCCCCCUUGGUGGUGGGGGAGAAGGAGGAGGAAUUCUAGCUCUUCUGGUUGCAAAACUGACUUUCCAAAUGUGAAUCAAGCUGAUGAAGUGAUUUCCCGAGUUUGGAGACAUCUUGAAGUAAUGGUAUUGGGAGGUUUGAACUCCUCUAUUCCCUUUUAAUUACAUUGGCUUGUCAACUCUGCCCAGUGAUGAGACUUGCAUAUAAACGUUAGCUAUUUAACUGCUGAUUACUUUAGAAUGGGGAAAGGGCAUGGGGUGAGGGGGAGGAUUGGGAGUUGCUGCAGGAAAGAAAGUGCAGAAGCAAUGCAGGGGAAAACCAUGAGGACAGAGAACAGGGAAUGAAGAAAACAGGAUGAUGGAGAGGGAAGGGAAGAGGUGGAAAUAGCAGUGAUCUUGCAUUUCCAUUUCUUGAUGGGAAAAUGUGUUCAUCAAAGUUCUGAACAAAUAAAAACCCAGAGCUUAUUUAGUAGAUAAGGGCCAUAUCAUCUCCCAUUGACAGCAGUGGACAUUCUUCUAUGGGUUGAGGGGAGCAUGGAAUCCUAAUUUUGUGUCUCAGUUCAUGUCCCAUAAUUAAAAAUGGGACUCAGCCCUCUCCAAUGAAAGUUUGACAUCCCUGUUAUAGUUGCUUGUAAGGGAGAUAGAAAAUUCUCUGCUAGGAGGGCAGAUGCGGUAUUUUGCAGAGCCACUGCCUUUCCACAGGUAGCUGUAAGGAGCGCUAGGACUCAAACUUGGGUCAGCAGACUAACCAGGUAACUAAUACCUCCACACUACCACUUGGCAGCAGCUGUAAACAGGUUGCUCCUGGCAACUUGCAGAUCACAGUGGAUGUACGCUAUGGGAAGUCCUGCCUGACAGACCUGUUGACAGCUUCCUGGGAGGCUCCUGAAUGGUACUUUGGCUCCAUAUAAGCCCACAGGCAUACCAGGAAGUGCUCAGGUAGGCUGCUAUGACUGACUCUCUGCUCCUGGCAUCAACUUUGGCUCUGACUUGGAUUCUGCCCCUUGCCCUGAACCUGGGACCCUGACACCAUCCUGACCUUGGCCAAGAAAUCUGACUUUGAGAUGCUCAAGCCCUGCCCUAUGACCCUGAAAGUAGGAUGGAGAGAAACUCAGUGGAAGAAUAGUGGCUGUGAAAGGAGUCUGUGACAGGGGCAUGCCCUUUUCUGCAAUAAUUGACUGAGUCCCUCCCUCACAUCCUUUCUGGAACAUCACAAUAGGCCCCCUUGGGGAAAGAGAAAAGAGUCCAUGGUUGGACCACCCGAAAUGGCUGGAUUGGUGUGUAUAAUGUGUGUGUAUAUGACCAUCUUGCUGAAGUCAAGAGUAACUUUUUGAAGGGCAAGUUAUAUUGAAAAAAGUAAAUCCCAUAGUGUGUAAGCAAAACAUAUUUUCCCACCCUUAGAAAAAUGUGUUGCUAGUCUUUACAUUUCCCAUAAAUAAAGAGUUCGUUUUUGUCCUCCCUACACAGUAAUAUACUCUGGUACGUUUUGGUUAGAAUGCUUCAUCGGAGUUACUUUUCCUGUCCCUUAGCACUUUUGCACUUUAGACGUUACUUCUUGCUUUGGAGAACUAGUGUCAAUGUGAAAUUGUUUAUGUAUUGGGAGGGUGACAGAGCCACAGUUCACAAGACACUUUGCUCCUUUCCUUGGAGGAAUAUUACUAUGUGUAAAAGAAGCACUUAUUCGUUCUCCUGCUAUGAAUCUCCAGUUGUAGGAACUUUUGCAUACCCAGUUGAACUGAGCAAUACAACCAUAUAAUCACCCUGAUUAUUUCCACUGAAUGUAGUCUGAAGUUGUUCAGGAAAUUCAUCUUUGAGUGCUGCUGAGCUCUUCUUUGAGAAAUAAAUACCACUAUUUCCCAUCUACAAACUAACAAAAUAAAAUUAUAGUUCAGCCAGAAGUGAGACUUAGUUCCUCAGAUGGUAGCUCAACUGCCAUAUUAAAUAUAUAACGAAUGGUUUUCAUAUCUAAUCUGGGUAGGAACUCUGCUGGUAAAAGACCUCAAACUUCAAUGCGUCCUAAGAAUGGGAUACUUGCAGGAAAUUUAAGUCAAGACAGUUCCUCCUAAACUCUGUAUUUGUUUGUUUUAUACAAAUCUACAGUAGCUGUCUCUGUAGGGUAAAUGAAGCAGCAGGCAGGUUGCAUUUAUCCCAUGUCAAGAUGAAAAGCUGAUUACGCUGAUGAGUGCAGAUGAAGCGGAAACCUCUCAGAGAUUAGGUUUUGCUCUCCAUGUGCCCUACAUUGCAGGUUGACAUAAUUGUUUACUCUUGGUCAUUUUACAUGUACAGUCUUUCCUCUGUCUCCUUAUCAGAGUGCAAAUGUACUCAAAAAGAGAAAUUUCUAUCAGCAAAGUGUAAUAAUUCAUCUCCCUUUAAGAGAACACAUUUUAAAAAGAAAACAACUAACUUUUCAAAGUACUUGGAACUGGUAUAUCUGUUUUCUGUUCUGUUCACAGUAUUUGUCUCUGACUAUGAUGUGAAAUAGUGAUGUUAUAGGCAAGGUAGUGCAAACUUGUAGGUUACUAGAUUGGAGAUGGCAAGUAAAUUAUGAGCAAACUAUCAAGUUUCUACAACUUUAAGGAUAAUCUGCAGUGAUGAAAAGAAGUUUAAAACUAUCAGAAAAGAUCUCAAGAAUUUUAGGCAGAAGUAGCAAGUGAAUGAUUUUAAUUAUUUUAAGAUUUAAUUUUGUUUAUGAAAGAUCUGUCCUUCACAUGUUCUGAGCUGAUUUUAUCAACAACUGUUUAUUGCAGGAAGCACUCCCAUCCUUCAUUAGGUUGUGGGCCUCUAAUGUUGGAGUCUUGUUAAUGAAUCUAAGCAGAACCACAUGUGUAGCCACAAGCGAUGCUACAUUUUGCCUAAGAUGAGAUGUCAUUGUAAUGUUUUAACAUUUACAAAGGUCUUCAAGAACGGCUGGAAUCAAAAUGCCAUUUUUCCUCCCAAAUUGUACAGUCACUAUUAAUGUCUUGCAGAAAGCUAUAUUAAUUGCAGCUUUUAAAUAUUGUGUAAUAAAAUAAGGGUCGUUUGCUUCUUCCCUGCUUUGCUCCAGAACCGAAUGUUUCAAUGAACAAUAUCAGAAAGAUUUUUAGGUAAGAAAAUAGAUUCUUUAGCCUCCACCAGCUCAGCUCCUCUAUGGCCCAUCUUUGAAUUGAAGUAAAAUAAGUGUAGGGAUGGUUCUUGUAGCUUUGAGUGUUAAGAGGUGCCCGGGUGGCGCUUUUAUAUAGGAAGCAACUCAGCUGGCUGGGCGAUGAUCAUCUUUUUGUCGAUGAUGUAAAUUCCAAAGUGGAGCUCGUUUUCCUAAAAGCCCUAUUU